UUGAUUAUGUCCCUGCCCUUUGUACACACCGCCCAUCGCUACUACCAAUUGGAUGGUUUAGUGAGGCUCUCAGAUACACCCCACCAGGGUUGGCACACAGCCCUGGCAGACUGCUGAGAAGAUGGUUGAACUUGACUACCUAGAGGAAGUAAAAGUCAUAACAAGCUUUCUGUAGGUGAACCUGCGGAAGGAU
Molecule: ribosomal RNA, 193 nt
Filed under: Sus scrofa domesticus (domestic pig)
Lineage: Eukaryota; Metazoa; Chordata; Mammalia; Artiodactyla; Suidae
Description: partial 18S ribosomal RNA
Rfam family: Eukaryotic small subunit ribosomal RNA
Source: RNAcentral